GGGUUGUGAGGUUAAGCGACUAAGCGUACACGGUGGAUGCCCUGGCAGUCAGAGGCGAUGAAGGACGUGCUAAUCUGCGAAAAGCGUCGGUAAGGUGAUAUGAACCGUUAUAACCGGCGAUGUCCGAAUGGGGAAACCCAGUGUGAUUCGUCACACUAUCGUUAACUGAAUACAUAGGUUAACGAGGCGAACCGGGGGAACUGAAACAUCUAAGUACCCCGAGGAAAAGAAAUCAACCGAGAUUCCCCCAGUAGCGGCGAGCGAACGGGGAGCAGCCCAGAGUCUGAAUCAGCUUGUGUGUUAGUGGAACGGUCUGGAAAGUCCGACGGUACAGGGUGAUAGUCCCGUACACCAAAAUGCACAGGUUGUGAACUCGAAGAGUAGGGCGGGACACGUGGUAUCCUGUCUGAAUAUGGGGGGACCAUCCUCCAAGGCUAAAUACUCCUGACUGACCGAUAGUGAACCAGUACCGUGAGGGAAAGGCGAAAAGAACCCCGGCGAGGGGAGUGAAAAAGAACCUGAAACCGUGUACGUACAAGCAGUGGGAGCACCUUCGGGUGUGACUGCGUACCUUUUGUAUAAUGGGUCAGCGACUUAUAUUCUGUAGCAAGGUUAACCGUAUAGGGGAGCCGCAGGGAAACCGAGUCUUAACUGGGCGUUAAGUUGCAGGGUAUAGACCCGAAACCCGGUGAUCUAGCCAUGGGCAGGUUGAAGGUUGGGUAACACUAACUGGAGGACCGAACCGACUAAUGUUGAAAAAUUAGCGGAUGACUUGUGGCUGGGGGUGAAAGGCCAAUCAAACCGGGAGAUAGCUGGUUCUCCCCGAAAGCUAUUUAGGUAGCGCCUCGUGAAUUCAUCUUCGGGGGUAGAGCACUGUUUCGGCUAGGGGGUCAUCCCGACUUACCAACCCGAUGCAAACUACGAAUACCGAAGAAUGUUAUCACGGGAGACACACGGCGGGUGCUAACGUCCGUCGUGAAGAGGGAAACAACCCAGACCGCCAGCUAAGGUCCCAAAGUCAUGGUUAAGUGGGAAACGAUGUGGGAAGGCACAGACAGCCAGGAUGUUGGCUUAGAAGCAGCCAUCAUUUAAAGAAAGCGUAAUAGCUCACUGGUCGAGUCGGCCUGCGCGGAAGAUGUAACGGGGCUAAACCAUGCACCGAAGCUGCGGCAGCGACACUAUGUGUUGUUGGGUAGGGGAGCGUUCUGUAAGCCUGCGAAGGUGACCUGUGAGGGUUGCUGGAGGUAUCAGAAGUGCGAAUGCUGACAUAAGUAACGAUAAAGCGGGUGAAAAGCCCGCUCGCCGGAAGACCAAGGGUUCCUGUCCAACGUUAAUCGGGGCAGGGUGAGUCGACCCCUAAGGCGAGGCCGAAAGGCGUAGUCGAUGGGAAACAGGUUAAUAUUCCUGUACUUGGUGUUACUGCGAAGGGGGGACGGAGAAGGCUAUGUUAGCCGGGCGACGGUUGUCCCGGUUUAAGCAUGUAGGCUGGUUAUCCAGGCAAAUCCGGAUAAUCAAGGCUGAGGUGUGAUGACGAGGCACUACGGUGCUGAAGUAACAAAUGCCCUGCUUCCAGGAAAAGCCUCUAAGCAUCAGGUAACAUCAAAUCGUACCCCAAACCGACACAGGUGGUCAGGUAGAGAAUACCAAGGCGCUUGAGAGAACUCGGGUGAAGGAACUAGGCAAAAUGGUGCCGUAACUUCGGGAGAAGGCACGCUGGUGUGUAGGUGAAGUCCCUGCGGAUGGAGCUGAGACCAGUCGAAGAUACCAGCUGGCUGCAACUGUUUAUUAAAAACACAGCACUGUGCAAACACGAAAGUGGACGUAUACGGUGUGACGCCUGCCCGGUGCCGGAAGGUUAAUUGAUGGGGUUAUCCGUAAGGAGAAGCUCUUGAUCGAAGCCCCGGUAAACGGCGGCCGUAACUAUAACGGUCCUAAGGUAGCGAAAUUCCUUGUCGGGUAAGUUCCGACCUGCACGAAUGGCGUAAUGAUGGCCAGGCUGUCUCCACCCGAGACUCAGUGAAAUUGAACUCGCUGUGAAGAUGCAGUGUACCCGCGGCAAGACGGAAAGACCCCGUGAACCUUUACUAUAGCUUGACACUGAACAUUGAGCCUUGAUGUGUAGGAUAGGUGGGAGGCUUUGAAGCGUGGACGCCAGUCUGCGUGGAGCCAACCUUGAAAUACCACCCUUUAAUGUUUGAUGUUCUAACGUUGGCCCCUGACCGGGGUUGCGGACAGUGUCUGGUGGGUAGUUUGACUGGGGCGGUCUCCUCCCAAAGCGUAACGGAGGAGCACGAAGGUUAGCUAAUCCUGGUCGGACAUCAGGAGGUUAGUGCAAUGGCAUAAGCUAGCUUGACUGCGAGCGUGACGGCGCGAGCAGGUGCGAAAGCAGGUCAUAGUGAUCCGGUGGUUCUGAAUGGAAGGGCCAUCGCUCAACGGAUAAAAGGUACUCCGGGGAUAACAGGCUGAUACCGCCCAAGAGUUCAUAUCGACGGCGGUGUUUGGCACCUCGAUGUCGGCUCAUCACAUCCUGGGGCUGAAGUAGGUCCCAAGGGUAUGGCUGUUCGCCAUUUAAAGUGGUACGCGAGCUGGGUUUAGAACGUCGUGAGACAGUUCGGUCCCUAUCUGCCGUGGGCGCUGGAGAAUUGAGGGGGGCUGCUCCUAGUACGAGAGGACCGGAGUGGACGCAUCACUGGUGUUCGGGUUGUCAUGCCAAUGGCACUGCCCGGUAGCUAAAUGCGGAAGAGAUAAGUGCUGAAAGCAUCUAAGCACGAAACUUGCCCCGAGAUGAGUUCUCCCUGAGACUUUAAGUCUCCUGAAGGAACGUUGAAGACGACGACGUUGAUAGGCCGGGUGUGUAAGCGCAGCGAUGCGUUGAGCUAACCGGUACUAAUGAACCGUGAGGCUUAACCUUACAACGCCGAAG
RNAcentral lists this ribosomal RNA (2923 nucleotides) under Klebsiella pneumoniae. RNAcentral's name for it is "bacterial LSU rRNA". It matches the Rfam family "Bacterial large subunit ribosomal RNA". The record is from RNAcentral. Lineage: Bacteria; Pseudomonadati; Pseudomonadota; Gammaproteobacteria; Enterobacterales; Enterobacteriaceae.